RNAcentral lists this non-coding RNA (45 nucleotides) under Schistosoma haematobium. Lineage: Eukaryota; Metazoa; Platyhelminthes; Trematoda; Strigeidida; Schistosomatidae. The record is from RNAcentral.
AUUCAACUGACAAGUCCUAAAUAGGACAAAACGUGUGUCCUGAAC